Molecule: ribosomal RNA, 460 nt
Filed under: uncultured Methanocalculus sp.
Lineage: Archaea; Methanobacteriati; Methanobacteriota; Methanomicrobia; Methanomicrobiales; Methanocalculaceae
Description: bacterial SSU rRNA
Rfam family: Archaeal small subunit ribosomal RNA
Source: RNAcentral
ACCACAACGGGUGGAGCCUGCGGUUUAAUUGGAUUCAACGCCGGACAACUCACCGGAUACGACAGCGGAAUGAUAGCCGGGCUGAAAACUCUGCUUGACUAGCUGAGAGGAGGUGCAUGGCCGUCGUCAGUUCGUACUGUGAAGCAUCCUGUAAGUCAGGCAACGAGCGAGACCCACGCCAACAGUUGCCAGCAUGAUCUCCGGAUUGAUGGGGACACUGUUGGGACCGCCUCUGCUAAAGGGGAGGAAGGAAUGGGCAACGGUAGGUCAGCAUGCCCCGAAUUAUCCGGGCUACACGCGGGCUACAAUGGAUGGGACAAUGGGUUUCGACACCGAAAGGUGAAGGUAAUCUCCUAACCCCACCCGUAGUUCGGAUUGCGGGCUGCAACUCGCCCGCAUGAAGCUGGAAUCCGUAGUAAUCGCGUCUCACGAUGGCGCGGUGAAUAUGUCCCUGCUCCUU